GUACCGCAAACCGACACAGGUAGUCAAGAUGAGAAUUCUAAGGUGAGCGAGCGAACUCUCGUUAAGGAACUCGGCAAAAUGACCCCGUAACUUCGGGAGAAGGGGUGCUCUUUAGGGUUAACGCCCAGAAGAGCCGCAGUGAAUAGGCCCAAGCGACUGUUUAUCAAAAACACAGGUCUCUGCUAAACCGUAAGGUGAUGUAUAGGGGCUGACGCCUGCCCGGUGCUGGAAGGUUAAGAGGAGUGGUUAGCUUCUGCGAAGCUACGAAUCGAAGCCCCAGUAAACGGCGGCCGUAACUAUAACGGUCCUAAGGUACCGCAAACCGACACAGGUAGUCAAGAUGAGAAUUCUAAGGUGAGCGAGCGAACUCUCGUUAAGGAACUCGGCAAAAUGACCCCGUAACUUCGGGAG
This 411-nucleotide ribosomal RNA is filed under the name Klebsiella pneumoniae. Its description in RNAcentral is "bacterial LSU rRNA". It matches the Rfam family "Bacterial large subunit ribosomal RNA", at positions 1644 to 2042 of the family's 2925-position model. Lineage: Bacteria; Pseudomonadati; Pseudomonadota; Gammaproteobacteria; Enterobacterales; Enterobacteriaceae. The record is from RNAcentral.